AUCUGGUUGACGAGUCCCAAAUAUGGCGAAAUGCGCAUCUUGGAU
Trichobilharzia regenti is the source of this 45-nucleotide non-coding RNA. Lineage: Eukaryota; Metazoa; Platyhelminthes; Trematoda; Strigeidida; Schistosomatidae. The record is from Rfam.